AUACGUAGGGGGCGAGCGUUGUCCGGAAUGAUUGGGCGUAAAGGGCGCGUAGGCGGCUUGUUAAGUCUGGAGUGGAAGUCCUCUUUUCAAGGGAGGAAUUGCUUUGGAAACUGGCGGGCUUGAGUGCAGGAGAGGUUAUCGGAAUUCCCGGUGUAGCGGUGAAAUGCGUAGAGAUCGGGAGGAACACCAGUGGCGAAGGCGGGUAACUGGACUGCAACUGACGCUGAGGCGCGAAAGUGUGGGGAGCAAACAGGAUUAGAUGCCCUGGUAGUCCACGCCGUAAACGAUGAAUACUAGGUGUGGGGGGUAUCGACUCCCUCUGUGCCGCAGUUAACACAAUAAGUAUUCCGCCUGGGGAGUACGGCCGCAAGGUUGAAACUCAAAUGAAUUGACGGGG
RNAcentral lists this ribosomal RNA (397 nucleotides) under uncultured bacterium. Its description in RNAcentral is "partial 16S ribosomal RNA". It matches the Rfam family "Bacterial small subunit ribosomal RNA", at positions 523 to 918 of the family's 1533-position model. The record is from RNAcentral.